RNAcentral lists this ribosomal RNA (468 nucleotides) under uncultured bacterium. Its description in RNAcentral is "partial 16S ribosomal RNA". It matches the Rfam family "Bacterial small subunit ribosomal RNA", at positions 28 to 507 of the family's 1533-position model. The record is from RNAcentral.
GACGAACGCUGGCGGCGUGCUUAACACAUGCAAGUCGAACGGAAAGGCCCUGCUUUUGUGGGGUGCUCGAGUGGCGAACGGGUGAGUAACACGUGAGUAACCUGCCCCUGACUUUGGGAUAACUUCAGGAAACUGGGGGUAAUACCGGGUAGGAGCUCCUGCUGCAUGGUGGGGGUUGGAAAGUUUCGGCGGUUGGGGAUGGACUCGCGGCUUAUCAGCUUGUUGGUGGGGUAGUGGCUUACCAAGGCUUUGACGGGUAGCCGGCCUGAGAGGGUGACCGGCCACAUUGGGACUGAGAUACGGCCCAGACUCCUACGGGAGGCAGCAGUGGGGAAUAUUGCACAAUGGGCGGAAGCCUGAUGCAGCAACGCCGCGUGCGGGAUGACGGCCUUCGGGUUGUAAACCGCUUUCGCCUGUGACGAAGCGUGAGUGACGGUAAUGGGUAAAGAAGCACCGGCUAACUACGUG